CCACACGACUCUCGGCAACGGAUAUCUCGGCUCUCGCAUCGAUGAAGAACGUAGCGAAAUGCGAUACCUGGUGUGAAUUGCAGAAUCCCGCGAACCAUCGAGUCUUUGAACGCAAGUUGCGCCCGAGGCCACCAGGCCGAGGGCACGCCUGCCUGGGCGUCACGC
This 165-nucleotide ribosomal RNA is filed under the name Melica porteri. Its description in RNAcentral is "5.8S ribosomal RNA". It matches the Rfam family "5.8S ribosomal RNA". Rfam says of the family: 5.8S ribosomal RNA (5.8S rRNA) is a component of the large subunit of the eukaryotic ribosome. It is transcribed by RNA polymerase I as part of the 45S precursor that also contains 18S and 28S rRNA. Lineage: Eukaryota; Viridiplantae; Streptophyta; Magnoliopsida; Poales; Poaceae. The record is from RNAcentral.